AUUCCAGCUCCAAUAGCGUAUAUUAAAGUUGUUGUGGUUAAAAAGCUCGUAGUUGGAUCUCGGCGGUCUGAGGGCGGUUCGCUUCAGAGCGCUACUGCCCUAUAGACCGUAGUUUUGCCAGAGGUCUCAGGGUGCUCUUAACCGAGUGUCUUGCGAUGCUGGCAGGUUUACUUUGAAAAAAUUAGAGUGCUCAAAGCAGGCUUUUACGCCUGAAUAUUCGUGCAUGGAAUAAUAGAAUAGGAAGUCGUUUCUAUUUUGUUGGUUUUCGGAAAUCGACUUAAUGAUUAAUAGGGCCAGUUGGGGGUAUUCGUAUUCCGUUGUCAGAGGUGAAAUUCUUGGAUUUACGGAAGACGAACGACUGCGAAAGCAUUUACCAAGGAUGUUUUCAUUA
RNAcentral lists this ribosomal RNA (391 nucleotides) under Pseudocalanus sp. Its description in RNAcentral is "partial small subunit ribosomal RNA". It matches the Rfam family "Eukaryotic small subunit ribosomal RNA", at positions 582 to 975 of the family's 1831-position model. Lineage: Eukaryota; Metazoa; Arthropoda; Copepoda; Calanoida; Clausocalanidae. The record is from RNAcentral.